CCAUUAUUACUUCUUGUUGCCCUUGUUGGGGCCACCGUGGGAGGUAAGGUACUUUUAAGUUUAGCACUGCCAUUGCUUUAUUGCAUAGUUCGGAGUAUUCAACUUUGAAAUGACAGAAAGUCAUUGUGGCUGGAUGGAACUCUAGAUCAUAGACCCCAAGUUAAGUAUAGAGCAUGGACAUAAACUUCACAUCAAAAUUGCAUCUCAUAUGAUGCAGAAACUACACUUUUUCUGUUGAGGCAUUUAAAAGAUUACAUAAGCAAGUAACUUGGAUGAUCAUAAGACAAGUUACGUUUGACUUGCAUUGCCAUACUUCUUCACAAAGCUAAGUCAAAAAUAGUACAUGCAGAUAUGAGACAGAAUUUGGAUUAAAUGAAAAGAAGUUCAAGUAUUUUUGAUGCAUUAAAGUACAUUGCAGUAUAGAUUCCCGGAGUUAAUAUGGCCAUUUCAUUUGGCAGUUCAUCUGCCAGAACACUAGAUAAAAAUCUUAGUUAUCCAUGAGGUUUACAAAUGAGCCUAUGUAUGUUUGUGGAAAUGACCAUUAAAGAUGCCAUUAGCUAUAAAAAUAAGCCAAUUAAAGAACUUGUCAACAAGAACUGUGUAAAUCCCAAACCUGUUAAUGUUGACAUAUGGAUCCUCAAUAUCUAAUCUGAUCCGUCUGUGCUCAUUUCACUCUACAUUUAAUAUGUUGUCUUUUGGGACAAUUCAAAAACUGUUCAGAAAAGAUCCUUAUUGUCUAAAGAUUUCCUCUCUUCUUCCUUUUUUCUUAUAUUUUUGGAUUGGCAAAAAAGAUGGGAAUUUGAAAUGUUUGUUUGUAAAUAAAACAUUUCAAGUUUGAGUCAACUCUGAGUACAACGGAAUGAAGUGUUUGUGCUAAAAUGGGUGAAUAUGUGUAGGAGUGAAUGAGAUCUCGUUUUAAAAAUGUCUUCACUACAAUUGACAAGUCCCUCACUAGCUUGAGGUUUUUUUUUUUGGGGGGGGGGGGUAAUUCAUAAAUGUAUAUAGUGUCCCACAUGAAAAAAAAUUUAGCAUGUAUUUUCUAGAAUAUGACUACAAAUAGGGGCUCGGUGCAAUAAUGUUUAUACACAUCUUAAUUAUAUUUUCCCCGUGUUAUUUCUCAUAGUUUUCCUUGGUUUUACUCUUUUUUUUGCUCCACCUUUUGACACAAGUAUGUGUGUGCGUUCAUUUGAUUGUACUUCAGGACUACUUGCACGUCAGAGAAAAGCGGAACUGCAGCGGUUAAAUGAGCAGCUCCGCCAGAUUAAUACAGCGCUUAGAAGGCAAGCCAAUAUAGAGUCCUAUGCACCUACCUUAAGUUAUGCUCCUGUUGGUGGUAAGAUUUCAGUAAGUGAAGUGAUUAUUGAUCCAAAAAAGGAGGAAUUAAUUUCUCACUUGAAAAGUGGGAAGAAUUUUCUGAGAAAUCAAGCUCUAGAAAAGGCUUUUUUGGAGUUUAAAACAGCUCUUAAGCUUGCACAGGACCUAAAAGACCCUAUAGAGGAAAAGAAGGCAGCGAGGGGCUUAGGUAUGUCAGAUCUCCUUGUUUAGUUUAGCCUAAUAUUAUCUUGGUUGAACUUGGUUAGACAGUAAAGGACUUGUGAAGUUAGUCGAAUAGAAAUCUCCUCUGCAUGUGACCCUGCAUUGACUGGAAUUACACAUGCAUGCAUCUUUUGUCUUCUUUGAUCUAGCAAGAAUUUUCUGGAGAUGAUUUUUGUGGUUGCUUGUCUAUGUAUAAAUAAUGUAACGAGUAUGUUCCCUGGGAAUGAGAUCCUGUCUUAACCAUAUUUCUUGUUGUCAUUUAUUCCUAAUUUCUUGGUGUCACAGAGUCAUGUUGCUUCUUUUUUCUUGGCUCAUUUUCUUUUUAAUCUAUGGAAGAAAGUGCCAAAUCCCGCCAGAAGUUGGAUGUAGAGAUUUUGUUAAAUUUACUUAUUAAAAGAGACUUUGCUUCAACCUACUGUUGUUUCUCUUUCUAGUAUAUGUUUGUGUCACGACGUAAUGACCCUCAAAGGUUCACCUCUUUCUCAGGGGCAUCGUUACAAAGGCAGGGCAAGUACAAGGAAGCGAUUGAAUACCACUCUAUGGUUCUUGAUAUCUCGGGAAGAAAUGGGGAGGAGUCUGGCAGCACAGAAGCUUAUGGAGCAAUAGCUGAUUGCUAUACCGAGCUUGGAGACAUAGAACGAGCUGCAAAAUACUAUGACAAAUACAUUGCAAGGCUACAGAGUGACUAAGCCAUCUACAGAAAGACUCAUGCAUAUCUUUCUGUUGCGGAAAUUUCUUCAUGUUCAUGCAUUUCAAGUAAAAUGUUUAGAAGUUAGGUCCUUUCUCUUGGUGUAUUUCUCUCUUGCAUAUAUCAUUCACUGGUUUCUUCUGUUUUUAGCUUUGUCUGUUACAUUUUUGGCGUCUCGAGGGUGAACUCAUCACCGAUAGCUGGUAUUCAGAAUUGUCAGCUUAAUUUACAUGUGAAAGUUGGAUUUGGGGAAACAAAUGAUGUUUAGAAAGUGAAUAUUUAGCAGCACUUUUGACUAUGGAAUGGACAAUGCAUAGAGAUUGUUCAGUAACAGUCCAUCCCAUUAACAUGUCUCAUGAUGACUUAACUUGGCUAACCAGCUAAACAAUAAUUAAUGCUUAAGAGCAAUCAAUUAAAUUCACACUAACUUGGCUAAGUUUGCAAAACAAUGUUAUGUAACCACAUUUAAACAAAAAUUUAUGUUAAUGUUUAGAAACCUAGAAGAACAAGGUAAUUUUACAACUGAGAUUUGAGGAGGUAUAAUAUAUGUAGGUGACACUUGAGAAGUACGAUAUUCGUUAAUCUUAUUGCUAUUUUUGUGGGGAAAGAGGUUGUCAAUAAUAGAUUCUUGGCUCAAAAGAAGUGCAACCAAAACAAAAUUGGAAGAAAAAUAAGGACAACGAAAAAUAGAAAGAUAGACAACACAAAUGGAACAAUGGAUAGUAAUAAAAAUUGAAGAAUAAGAUAUAUGUCAAUAUUGAAUAAUACUCCUAAAGAAGUAAGGAAAUAUUUGGACAGACUAUCUAUCCUUUACCCUAGUUCUCAAUCUCCGCACCUCUAAAUUAAAUAUAAAAUAAAUCGAUAGUUAUCUCGAAAAUAGAAAAAUGUGGAGCCCACUUUAAUAAAGGGCAAAAUCUUAAGCUUUUAUAAUAGGAAAAAGAACAUUUGUAGUCCAAAAACGGAAACUGUUUACAAUCGGCUAUUCCUUACUUUCAAUUCCUAUUUUUAACUAUUAAUUCGAAUUUACUACUUAAUACCAGCAAAGUAUAUAUAUAAUCUAAUGGUACCAAAGAGGAGGAAUCAGUCCUUCAGUAAAAACACUACUCAGAUAUUAUCCCACCCUUAUUUGUUGACACAUCCACAUAAAUCGGAUAUAAUAAAAUGUUUGUUUACACGCGCUUUCACGUAUUGAUUGGACCCUAAAACUCUAAAAUUUCCCUUAAUCUUUUCAUUUUCCUCUUUCUUUCUCUAAACUUUAUCCAUUUUUCUAUCGGACUAAAUUCACCCAUUCUCUUCAUGAUAUGAAAUUUCAUUCCAUUCAGGUAGGAGAUGAGUGGGUUUACUUUGGUUACCUUAUGAUUGUAUCAUGGUGGGGUGUUAGAUUUAACAAGUGGACAAUCAAUAUAUAAGGGUGGGCACUAGUUAAAUCUAAAAGCCCCACACGAUACCAUCUUAAGGUAACCAAAGUAAACCCACUCAUCUCCUACUUGAAUGGAAUGAAAGAACAGAGAACAAUUAAACUACACAUUGUACAUUAAACACGCACACACUAGGUAAAUAUGAAAAUAUUAUCGUUAUAACGAAAUGAUCACGAAAAUUGUAAACUUACUACACCAUAGUAUCAUUACGAACAUAUAUAACAUUAAACGAGAAAGAAAACACCACAUGGCUAACAAUAUGAAGAUAAUAUGGUAUAAAUAGUAUCAUUACGAACAUAUAUAACAUUAAACAAGAAAAAAAACACCAUAUGGUUAACAAUAUGAAGAUAAUAUGGUAUAAAUUGAACAAUGGAAUGCAAUAAUACUAAAACCCAAUUAUUGCUCUUCAUUUUUUUUUUGGGUCAAUUUCAUAAUCCUAAUCAAACACAAUCAUCAUUAUCGUUCAAAAUCGCUAGUAAAGAACUUAAAAAAACUAACCUUUACUCACAUAAAUAGGUGAAUAACUAGUAAACAAACCUUCCACAACCCUCCCAACAAACUUCGAUUGGAACGAAACCUCAGAUCAUGAAGAGAGUAGGGUGAAUUUGGUCUGAUAAAAAAAAGGUUAGGGUUUAGAGAAAGAAAGAGGAAAAUGAAAAGAUUACAGGAAAAUUAGAGCUUUGUGGUCCUGCUAAUACAUGGCAGCGCGUGUAAACAAACAUUUUUU
This 4369-nucleotide long non-coding RNA is filed under the name Solanum lycopersicum (tomato). Its description in RNAcentral is "long non-coding RNA (SLYC_LNC000699)". Lineage: Eukaryota; Viridiplantae; Streptophyta; Magnoliopsida; Solanales; Solanaceae. The record is from RNAcentral.